CGUCACACUAUCAUUAACUGAAUCCAUAGGUUAAUGAGGCGAACCGGGGGAACUGAAACAUCUAAGUACCCCGAGGAAAAGAAAUCAACCGAGAUUCCCCCAGUAGCGGCGAGCGAACGGGGAGGAGCCCAGAGCCUGAAUCAGCAUGUGUGUUAGUGGAAGCGUCUGGAAAGGCGCGCGAUACAGGGUGACAGCCCCGUACACAAAAGCGCAUGUGCUGUGAGCUCGAUGAGUAGGGCGGGACACGUGGUAUCCUGUCUGAAUAUGGGGGGACCAUCCUCCAAGGCUAAAUACUCCUGACUGACCGAUAGUGAACCAGUACCGUGAGGGAAAGGCGAAAAGAACCCCGGCGAGGGGAGUGAAAAAGAACCUGAAACCGUGUACGUACAAGCAGUGGGAGCACCCUUCGGGGUGUGACUGCGUACCUUUUGUAUAAUGGGUCAGCGACUUAUAUUCUGUAGCAAGGUUAACCGUAUAGGGGAGCCGGAGGGAAACCGAGUCUUAACCGGGCGUUAAGUUGCAGGGUAUAGACCCGAAACCCGGUGAUCUAGCCAUGGGCAGGUUGAAGGUUGGGUAACACUAACUGGAGGACCGAACCGACUAAUGUUGAAAAAUUAGCGGAUGACCUGUGGCUGGGGGUGAAAGGCCAAUCAAACCGGGAGAUAGCUGGUUCUCCCCGAAAGCUAUUUAGGUAGCGCCUCGUGAAUUCAUCUCCGGGGGUAGAGCACUGUUUCGGCUAGGGGGCCAUCCCGGCUUACCAACCCGAUGCAAACUGCGAAUACCGGAGAAUGUUAUCACGGGAGACACACGGCGGGUGCUAACGUCCGUCGUGAAGAGGGAAACAACCCAGACCGCCAGCUAAGGUCCCAAAGUCAUGGUUAAGUGGGAAACGAUGUGGGAAGGCCCAGACAGCCAGGAUGUUGGCUUAGAAGCAGCCAUCAUUUAAAGAAAGCGUAAUAGCUCACUGGUCGAGUCGGCCUGCGCGGAAGAUGUAACGGGGCUAAACCAUGCACCGAAGCUGCGGCAGCGAACGUAUCACCCAAGACAACUUUACGGAGUUGACGAUUGACGGAGCGAAGCGACGUCAAAGCGUUCAUUAAAGUCGAGUUGGCUUAGGGAUACGUUCGUUGGGUAGGGGAGCGUUCUGUAAGCCUGUGAAGGUGUGUCGUGAGGCAUGCUGGAGGUAUCAGAAGUGCGAAUGCUGACAUAAGUAACGAUAAAGCGGGUGAAAAGCCCGCUCGCCGGAAGACCAAGGGUUCCUGUCCAACGUUAAUCGGGGCAGGGUGAGUCGACCCCUAAGGCGAGGCCGAAAGGCGUAGUCGAUGGGAAACGGGUUAAUAUUCCCGUACUUGGUGUUACUGCGAAGGGGGGACGGAGAAGGCUAUGUUGGCCGGGCGACGGUUGUCCCGGUUUAAGCGUGUAGGUGUGUGUUCCAGGUAAAUCCGGUUCACUUUAACACUGAGGCGUGACGACGAGGCACUACGGUGCUGAAGCAACAAAUGCCCUGCUUCCAGGAAAAGCCUCUAAGCAUCAGGUAACACGAAAUCGUACCCCAAACCGACACAGGUGGUCAGGUAGAGAAUACCAAGGCGCUUGAGAGAACUCGGGUGAAGGAACUAGGCAAAAUGGUGCCGUAACUUCGGGAGAAGGCACGCUGACACGUAGGUGAAGUGAUUUACUCAUGGAGCUGAAGUCAGUCGAAGAUACCAGCUGGCUGCAACUGUUUAUUAAAAACACAGCACUGUGCAAACACGAAAGUGGACGUAUACGGUGUGACGCCUGCCCGGUGCCGGAAGGUUAAUUGAUGGGGUCAGCGCAAGCGAAGCUCCUGAUCGAAGCCCCGGUAAACGGCGGCCGUAACUAUAACGGUCCUAAGGUAGCGAAAUUCCUUGUCGGGUAAGUUCCGACCUGCACGAAUGGCGUAAUGAUGGCCAGGCUGUCUCCACCCGAGACUCAGUGAAAUUGAACUCGCUGUGAAGAUGCAGUGUACCCGCGGCAAGACGGAAAGACCCCGUGAACCUUUACUAUAGCUUGACACUGAACAUUGAGCCUUGAUGUGUAGGAUAGGUGGGAGGCUUUGAAGUGUGGACGCCAGUCUGCAUGGAGCCGACCUUGAAAUACCACCCUUUAAUGUUUGAUGUUCUAACGUGGACCCGUAAUCCGGGUUGCGGACAGUGUCUGGUGGGUAGUUUGACUGGGGCGGUCUCCUCCUAAAGAGUAACGGAGGAGCACGAAGGUUGGCUAAUCCUGGUCGGACAUCAGGAGGUUAGUGCAAUGGCAUAAGCCAGCUUGACUGCGAGCGUGACGGCGCGAGCAGGUGCGAAAGCAGGUCAUAGUGAUCCGGUGGUUCUGAAUGGAAGGGCCAUCGCUCAACGGAUAAAAGGUACUCCGGGGAUAACAGGCUGAUACCGCCCAAGAGUUCAUAUCGACGGCGGUGUUUGGCACCUCGAUGUCGGCUCAUCACAUCCUGGGGCUGAAGUAGGUCCCAAGGGUAUGGCUGUUCGCCAUUUAAAGUGGUACGCGAGCUGGGUUUAGAACGUCGUGAGACAGUUCGGUCCCUAUCUGCCGUGGGCGCUGGAGAACUGAGGGGGGCUGCUCCUAGUACGAGAGGACCGGAGUGGACGCAUCACUGGUGUUCGGGUUGUCAUGCCAAUGGCACUGCCCGGUAGCUAAAUGCGGAAGAGAUAAGUGCUGAAAGCAUCUAAGCACGAAACUUGCCCCGAGAUGAGUUCUCCCUGAGACUUAGAGUCUCCUGAAGGAACGUUGAAGACGACGACGUUGAUAGGCCGGGUGUGUAAGCGCAGCGAUGCGUUGAGCUAACCGGUACUAAUGAACCGUGAGGCUUAACCUU
Molecule: ribosomal RNA, 2851 nt
Filed under: Salmonella enterica subsp. enterica serovar Typhimurium str. DT104
Lineage: Bacteria; Pseudomonadati; Pseudomonadota; Gammaproteobacteria; Enterobacterales; Enterobacteriaceae
Description: bacterial LSU rRNA
Rfam family: Bacterial large subunit ribosomal RNA
Source: RNAcentral